Molecule: ribosomal RNA, 253 nt
Filed under: uncultured bacterium
Lineage: Bacteria
Description: partial 16S ribosomal RNA
Rfam family: Bacterial small subunit ribosomal RNA
Source: RNAcentral
GACGUAGGGCGCGAGCGUUGUCCGGAUUUAUUGGGCGUAAAGAGCUCGUAGGCGGCUUGUUGCGUCGACUGUGAAAACCCGCAGCUUAACUGCGGGCCUGCAGUUGAUACGGGCAGGCUAGAGUUCGGUAGGGGAGACUGGAAUUCCUGGUGUAGCGGUGAAAUGCGCAGAUAUCGGGAGGAACAUCAGUGGCGAAGGCGGCUACCUGGCCCAAUACUGACACUCAGGUGCGACAGCGUGGGGAGCAAACAGG